Molecule: non-coding RNA, 484 nt
Organism: Schistosoma curassoni
Lineage: Eukaryota; Metazoa; Platyhelminthes; Trematoda; Strigeidida; Schistosomatidae
Source: Rfam
GACGACACUCAGACACACUGUUCAGACUUACAAUUUCCUCCAGCAAUUAGGAUCGUUUUCUUGCUCAAUCGAAUGAUUGAUUUAUUUGUUUAGUUUUACUUGUAUAUUGAUCUGGUGCCAGCAGCCGCGGUAACUCCAGGUCCAAAAUAGUAUAUUAGAUUUGCUUAGUUAAAAUGCUCGUAGUUGGAUCUGGGUCGUGCGGUCGCAUGCCAUCUCUUGUUCACUGUUUUAGGUGUGAUCAGGACCGGUGUUUUGCUCGGUGUAGUGACUUGUUGGUAUGCUUCCGGAUGCUUUUAAACGGGUGUCGAGAGCGGACGGCAUCUCUACUUUGAGUGCUCAAAGCAGGCCUAUGAGCCUGAAAAUCCCUGCAUGGAAUAAUAAAAUAGGACUUCGUUUCUGUUCGAAUGAAGCAUACACCUAGCUUCGUUCUGGACUGAAUGUACUCUGGCUUAGUGCUAUUUUCUUUAGGCUUCAGCGGUUAUUG